RNA transcript from Grus americana (Whooping crane), 2549 nucleotides. It is a transcript of the gene named CD63 molecule, with no coding region annotated. The transcript is spliced from 6 exons. Lineage: Eukaryota; Metazoa; Chordata; Aves; Gruiformes; Gruidae. The record is from RefSeq and is a predicted model, not a curated record.
GGGGGACGACGGACGGACACACCCGGGGAGGGCAUCUCGCGCGUGGGGGGUCCCGGGGGUGGCGGCCUCCCCACGUGGCGCGUCCCCGGGGCAGCACGGCGGGUGAUGCGGUGCUGGGGGGGGUGCGCGGCCCCAUCACCCCACACCUCUCUGGGGUGCAGCGGGGACCUGUGUGUGUGUGUGUGUGCGCGUGUGUCCCGCAAAGCCCUGCCUGCUUCCUUCUCCACGCGGGACAGUUCCCCCCCCCCCCACGCGGGGAACCCACGCUGGGGCCACGUCCUUGGCUGGACACAGCCCCACGUCCACAUCCGCGCGUCCACGUGUCCACGUCCACGUCCCCACCUCCGGGCUGUGGCCUCUGGCAGCCGGGCGGGAUAAUUUUAGCCGGGUCCCCACCCUGGGGCCUGAGCCGGGCAGGAUGCGGCCCUGAGCGCUACCCGCACCCAGCAAUUACAGGCAGGGCGCUCGGGGCCACGGCCGUGGUGGGGCCACGCUGGGAGCGGGGAGGUGGCCGGUCACCCCCCCCGAGCACCGUGUCCCCCCAGCUCCGGCCAUGGCGGGGCUGCUGCAGGCCCUGGUGGGUGCCUCGGAGAAGGCGGCGCACAUCGCCCGGCUGUGCCGGCAAGAGGAGCCCCUCUUCCAGCUGCUGGUGGCCGAGAAGACGGGGGCCGACAGGAACAGGAGGUUCCUGCAGGAUUUCAAGACGCUGGCGGACGUCCUCAUCCAGGAGGUCAUCAAGCACGACCUAGGGAAGGAGUUCCCCGAGCUGAAGGGCCACAUCCACGGUGAGGAGUCCAACGAGUUCAGGAACGGGCAGGGGGAGAUGGUGGCAGUGCGGGUCUGCACCACGCCGGGAGAGACCGCGGCCCUGCUGCUCUCCGUGCUGGAGCCCGAGCGGGCGGCUGCCGAGCUGCUGGCGGCUGCUGUGCACCGGGACGUGGCGCUGGGGGACGCGGAGCUGGCCGGCGUGGCGCUCAGCAUCCCCCCCCAGGACCUGGCCAUCUGGAUAGACCCGAUCGACUCCACCAACGAGUACAUCGGUGGGCGCGAGGACGUGGCCCCCAUCGACGGCAUCGCCCCGGCGGGGCUGCGCUCGGCGCUGGUGCUCAUCGGGGCCUACGACCGGCGCACGGGCUGCCCCGUGCUGGGCGUCAUCAACGAGCCCUUCUUCUGCCGGGACCCCCUGACCCACAGGUGGCAGGGGAGGUACCACUGGGGCGUCGCAUACGGGGACACGCGGCUGUGCUCGCUGAGCCCCCCGCCUCUGCGCCCCACGCCCUGCGUGGUGCUGAGCCGGGCGGAGGGGGCGGCGGUGCGGGCGGCCCUGGGUCCCCUCUGCGGUGACCGCCUGCGCUUCGCCGCCGGCGCCGGCUACAAGAUGCUCUGCGUCAUCCUGGGGCUGGCGGACGCCUACAUCCUCUCGGAGGGCAGCACCUUCGCCUGGGACGCCUGUGCCCCCCACGCCAUCCUGCGGGCCCUGGGUGGGGGCACAGUGGCCCUGGCAGCGGCCCUGAGGGCGCGGCGGGUGGGUGACUCCGGGCCCCCACCUGAGCUGGUCUACAACCGUCCGGCGGAGGAGGCGGCGGGGGUCGAGCGCUGGGCAAACUGGGGUGGCCUCCUGGCCUACGUGCACCCCCAGCACCUGGAGUCCAUGCUGGCCGCGCUGGCCGCCGUGCCGGGGCUCUGAGCCCACGGUGGCCGGGAUCCCGGGGUGAUGGGUAUGGGGUGCCCAGGACCCUGGGGUGCAGGACACAGGGUGGCAAGGGACCCCAGGGUGAAGGGCAUGGGGCAGCUGGGACCCCUGGGGUGCAGGGUUUGGGGUGGCAGGGAGCGGGGUGGCCAGGACCCCGGGGUGCAGGGUUUGGGGUGGCAGGGAGCGGGGUGAUGGGUAUGGCCAGGACCCCAGGGUGCAGGCACAGGGUGGCAGGGCCCAUGGGACAGCUGGGACCCCCGGGGUGCAGGGUGUGGGGUGGCAGGGACCCCAGGGUGCAGGGUUUGGGGUGGCAGGGACCCCGGGGUGCAGGCACAGGGUGGCAGGGACCAAGGACCAUGGGACAGCCGGGACCCCGGGGUGCAAGGUGUGGGGUGGCAGGGACCCCGGGGUGCAGGGUCCCCAGGACCCCCCGGACGCAGCGUGCCCCAGGGUGCAGGACGGGGUGGGUGGGAGCUCUGGGUCCCCCCCGACGCGCCCCCCCCCCCCCCACGUCCCCCGUGGCGGGGCCGGCGGCUCCGGCACCAUUAAAGCGUCCCCCGCAGCCGCCUGUCUGUGCUGUCCCGGGCCGGGGGGGCGGGGGCGGGCCGGGCCCCGGGCGGGGCGGGGCGGGGCGGGCCCGGUGCUGCCUAUUGACGCGUCCCGGCCCCGUCACAUGAUCGCGGAGCGCACGGAGCGGGCGGCGGAGCAGCGGCACCGGUAUGCGGCGUGGCCCUCAUCGCCAUCGGCAUCUAUGCCCAGGUGGCCCUCGAUAAGGCGCUGGUGGUCAGCAGCGCCUCCACCUCCAGCACCCCCAUCGCCAUCCUGGUCCUGGGCAUCAUCAUCUUCUUCAUCUCCU